This is a long non-coding RNA of Aethalodelphis obliquidens (Pacific white-sided dolphin), 2618 nucleotides long. RefSeq lists it as uncharacterized. NCBI's taxonomy places the organism in Eukaryota, Metazoa, Chordata, Mammalia, Artiodactyla, Delphinidae. The record is from RefSeq and is a predicted model, not a curated record. The transcript is spliced from 2 exons.
AAAUGCCUUCCUUUUCCAAUUUCCUCUUCCUGCCCCCAUUCUUAAUUAAGCUCUACUCUUGUAUGUUGUUGUGAAACUCAAUCAGAAUGACAGAAAAAAAAUCUAUCAAAGGAAAUAUAAGAUAAGAAUAUGAUAUCAUUGAAUGUAGGUCCAUUAGGUAAUGGAUCUCCCCCUAAAUUGGUAUGAAAAAGAAUGUGGAUGUGGCAAGACCAAUUUCAACUGAAACUAAUUGAUCUCAUUUUUAAAAAAAUUCUGAUCCAUGAGGGGGUCACCCCUCUCAUUAUUUCUGAACUUGGUUAGUAAAAGUUGCUAAGCAUUUUAUGAGGCAGAGCCACUAUUGGAUUUUUUAAGCAAAUACGUUGUUAAAAAAAUAUUGAUCUUCUUCUGAGAGCAUCUUUGUGUUAGCUAGAGAUUAUAAACAAGAGAUAUAGAUACAUAAAUAUGCUGUGUUUAUAUAAAAUCAAUCUGAAUGCCAUCCAUAUAACUUCUUUCCCUAUACUUCCCUCAUACCUUCCCAUGCAUAAAGUUACCAAAUUCUGUAUUAAAUCAAUGACCUGAGAUUGACAAGGGACUACUAUGCCUCUAGUAUGUAGCUAUGCCUCUAGUAUGUAGGCACAAAGUUUCCAUUUUCAAAUUAUUUAAAAUUCAUGUGAGUAUAAAAUUCCAAAAUUUCUGACUCCAAUCAUAUAAAACAGUUGCUACUCAUUGCAGUGGUCUCCCACCUCAAUAUCAAGAGGGCUGUACACUAAGAUGGGAAAAUCUCGUCAAGCCUAAAAUGGUUAGUUUUUCUAUGAUGCCAUCAGUUUGUUUAGUAAAAGACGAUUAUCUUUAAAACACCAAAUUAUCUUUGGAAAACUUAAUUUGACUAAAGGCAGAGACGUUCUAAGUGAGAUAAAAAUUUUAAAGUACCCUGCAUUUUGCAAAAUAAUCUGAUCUUUUAGCAACCCCUCACUUCCCUCCCUAUUUUGCUCCCUGCAUUAAUGAAUUGUAUUUAUAGUCAAAACGCACAUUUAUACCCCUAACAUGCCUUACACACAACCAAUUGAUAAGCCAUGGUACUUUUAGUAGGUUUAAACUUUUAAUUCUGUAUUUCCUUACUAUAAGUCUUGCUAGAAUUUUUUUCUUAUCUUUAGUAGAUUUGAUUAAACAAUGAUUUACAUAAUCUAGUAAUAGAGUCAAACUAUGUAUGAAUAUAACCAAGGUGAGGACACAGAGUUAACUAAACAAGUAAUUUUUAAAGGACUAAUAAAAAUCUGAAAUGUUUAAAUAGAAGACUACAUUGUUUAGUCUUGUAUUUACUCCUUUUGUUUCUUUUUUUCUUUCACACACUCCUAGUUUCACAUGUUUGUAGCCCAUUUAUUCACUUAAUUCCUAAGAGUAUUGAAAGCGAAGCAACUAUAUGACUGUAUUCUUUGAGUAAACACUGACUGUAUUUGUUGGGUUUUCCUUUUUUUUUUUUUUUUUUUUUUUUUUUAAGGCUAAUGUGCCCUUCCUGAAUACUUGCCAUUUCAAACUCUGAAAGUGGGUCGGAGUGACUGGGUCUACUGCCAACUCUUGCUAGUCUGGUAUGAGUUCAUUCAUAUUUGUCAGUAUUGCUCACUUCAGAGAAACUCCGUCAUCAAGCAGUCGACAGCUAGGCCAGACCAACAUUGUGAGCAUGAAAAAGAAGUUCUCACCAUGUCUAUUCGUGUAGGAGUGACAAGCAACUCACAACAAGAAUUCCCAGCACAACCAUCCUCAGCAUCUGUCUAUGCUGCCCCAAAUCAGUAUAAAAUCACCAAUCCUUUACUUGCUAAUGCAGCUAGAAAAUUUAAGAACUGAAGAAUCUAGGUUAUAUGGCCGACCAGAGCAAUAGAUAUCCAAAGAAAGGCUCUCCCCAGCAUACUGGAACUGAAAAGAUCAAGACUUCCAACAGAGACAUUUGUAGCUUUGAAUGGAAACUCAUAGCAGAGAGUAAAGGGAAAGAGACAGACAACCCGAACUUUGGAAUAUUAUCCUCACCUCACAGUUUAAUAAUAAUCAUUUCUAGUAGAGAAGCUACAAAACCAACAUUGAUAUCCAGUUUGAUAAGCCUCUUGUUUUUUCACCUGAGACAAUUUUCCUUUCUGUCUCACACCUAUAUCUCCAUUUCUUUUCUCCCCCUGUACGAGGAUACAUUUUAAAUAGUUGAGUCUAACCGCUGUUAUCUAAUAAUGAAUACAAUUAAAAGCAUUUAACUCACUAUCUAGGAAAAUGUAUAAACUAAGGCAUAGACAAAACAAUGGGAAAUGCUGAAAACUUUUCCAAUGGAGAGAAGUAAUCUGGAUAAUUUUUGCCAAAAGUUCUUUUCAUGUCAUACGUUAUUAGAAUUUGGGGGGACUAAAUUUUUUAAGAAUGCUGCAACUCGCAACUCAUCUUCAGGAGACCAGCCCAGAGAAAAGUGUAGAAAUGAAAGGUUUGGAAAUCCAUUUGUCAGCAUUUAUCCUAUAAGUUUUUCAUUUAGAAACAAUGUGUUUAUCUUCUAAUUUUGUAACCAAUACAUUGUAUACUAUGUAACUCAUACUUCUUGAUAAAGCACCAAAUAUGUAUCUGUAACCACAAUCACAUAUAUUCUAUUAAAUAUAUAUCUAUAUAAUAAC